CGGCGGACGGGUGAGUAAUGCCUAGGAAUCUGCCUGGUAGUGGGGGACAACGUUUCGAAAGGAACGCUAAUACCGCAUACGUCUUACGGGAGAAAGUGGGGGAUCUUCGGACCUCACGCUAUCAGAUGAGCCUAGGUCGGAUUAGCUAGUUGGUGAGGUAACGGCUCACCAAGGCGACGAUCCGUAACUGGUCUGAGAGGAUGAUCAGUCACACUGGAACUGAGACACGGUCCAG
Molecule: ribosomal RNA, 235 nt
Filed under: uncultured Pseudomonadales bacterium
Lineage: Bacteria; Pseudomonadati; Pseudomonadota; Gammaproteobacteria; Pseudomonadales
Description: partial 16S ribosomal RNA
Rfam family: Bacterial small subunit ribosomal RNA
Source: RNAcentral